CCUACGGGUGGCAGCAGUGGGGAAUAUUGCACAAUGGGGGAAACCCUGAUGCAGCAACGCCGCGUGAGUGAAGAAGUAUCUCGGUAUGUAAAGCUCUAUCAGCAGGGAAGAAAAUGACGGUACCUGACUAAGAAGCCCCGGCUAACUACGUGCCAGCAGCCGCGGUAAUCCGUAGGGGGCAAGCGUUAUCCGGAUUUACUGGGUGUAAGGGGAGCGGAGACGGGGUGGCAAGUCUGAAGUAAAAGCCCGGGCUCAACCCCGGGACUGCUUUGGAAACUGUCAUGCUGGAGUGCUGGAGAGGUAAGCGGAAUUCCUAGUGUAGCGGUGAAAUGCGUAGAUAUUAGGAGGAACACCAGUGGCGAAGGCGGCUUACUGGACAGUAACUGACGUUGAGGCUCGAAAGCGUGGGGAGCAAACAGGAUUAGAUACCCUAGUAGUC
RNAcentral lists this ribosomal RNA (439 nucleotides) under uncultured bacterium. RNAcentral's name for it is "partial 16S ribosomal RNA". It matches the Rfam family "Bacterial small subunit ribosomal RNA", at positions 338 to 795 of the family's 1533-position model. The record is from RNAcentral.